Haliotis rubra (blacklip abalone) is the source of this 282-nucleotide long non-coding RNA. RefSeq lists it as uncharacterized. The record is from RefSeq and is a predicted model, not a curated record. The transcript has 3 exons. NCBI's taxonomy places the organism in Eukaryota, Metazoa, Mollusca, Gastropoda, Lepetellida, Haliotidae.
GGCACUUCACAGUAACUGUACAGUGGCAUUGAUAAUGCAUGAGUGUUUCUAGACGUCGGACACAGUCUUCGCCAAUCAGUAUCCACACCACAUGUGUCCAACACUUCAGACCAGCACCUCACCAAUUCCCGACGGAUAUCACCUCAUUGUUGUUCGCCAUGAAGCACGACGAUGUCGUGUGGGCAAUGAGUUGUUUUGAGAAAAACAACUGGGUAUGUCAGUUAAGGAGUCACACUUGAAUAGAUUCAAGUCCAUGCUUUUUACUGCAUUCCCUAAAGCUAA